Molecule: long non-coding RNA, 1662 nt
Organism: Bos taurus (domestic cattle)
Lineage: Eukaryota; Metazoa; Chordata; Mammalia; Artiodactyla; Bovidae
Source: Ensembl
CAAAAAUAAAUAAACCAAAGGAAAAAACAAACAACAGCCCCCUCUCCCCAACACACACACACCAAACCAAAACAGAGCUCGGAACAGGCUAGGGAGAUGUUCUUUUUUCCAUAAUCCAGGCCUGGAGCCCACAUCUGACUGCUUGGCUGGCAGCUUCUCCAGACACAGGUUGACGUUGUCCCGUGAGGGACACCUGUACACUCGGAACAAUUAGCACAGUUCACACAGGCUCCUCUGUCCAUGGAAUUCUCCAGGCAAGAACACUGGAGUGGGUUGCUAUUCCCUUUUCCAGGGGCUCUUCCCAACCCAGGGAUCAAACCCAGAUCCCCCACAUUGCAGGCAGACUCUUUACCGACUGAGCCACCAGGGAAGCCAUUUACACUGGAUAUCAUCAUCCUAAUCACCAAGAGUAAGGCAUCGAUAACGGUAGAUUCUUAACCACUGGACCACCAAGGAAGUCCUGAAAGUGAUUCUUGACUCACAGAAAGAACUCAGGAAAGAACGGCCACACUGUCUUUGCCUAAGAUGCCCAGACGACUGUAGGAAGAACCCCCUAUGGAAUGAAAAACAACUCCACCAUCACCAAGAACCCAUCAAAUGUUGACUAAAUAAAUGAUUUUCUUCUUUUACUAUGCAUGGUGUUCACCUGGGGUAAUUAUAGAAACACACAAUUGUCCAAACUCUGCCCCAGGUGUUCUGAUUCAAGGAGCCCAAGCUUAAGUAUGUGUAAAAAGUGUUUCGGGUGAUUCUAAUGAGUGGGCAGGUCUAGACUUCUUGGGCAGGCUCUAUGUUUUCCCAAGAAGAUCCAGAAUUAGUUUAGAAGAAUCUAAAAAGUAGAUUUGUUGUUUAGUGGUCUCCACUGAAACUAGAACUAUGUGAUUGUGCUGUAACUAAAUAAUUCUUUUAUCAUUAAUGCUGUGUGAAACUCUGGACCUCAGUCUCCUCAACUGUAUGAUAGAGGCUUCGAUUAUGUAUUUUCAAAGGUCUCUCCCAGUUUUGAUUUUCUAACAUAUUAUGACCCUGAAUUUGUUUAUCACUCAAAUUCCUGAAGAGGAUUACAGCUGGAGGAAUUGUGUAGGAAUUUGAAAAAGGCUGAAUAAAUAAAUAAAUAAUAAAUAACAGCACUCGGUAGAUCCAAAUCUUAAAGCUAACUCCCUGAAGAGGCUGGAUAAGAAUGCAGACUUAAUGGAGCUCCGUCUCUCGUGACCUUGGACAGAUUACCCAACUGCCUCAAUUUUCUUACCUGUAAAAUGGAGUCAGUAAUAGUACUGGCAUCACGAAAUUUUUCAGAUUAAAAGAGUUAAUCCAUGUGAAGUACUUUGAACACUGCUUGGCUACAAGUGCUCAAUAAAUAUUACCUGUUAUUAUUGUGAUUUCAAGGCUCCUUCCUUUUACUUCAGUUCAUUUAACUACAACCAAAAACACCUCUCUACCUUCAGGUUCUACUAUCCCAUUAGCUGAAUGAAAUUUGUAUCAAGGAGAAGAGCAAGCUCAACUAGUGUUGUGAAGGCAAGUCUGUUGCUGGAAUCCUGUGAGAAAAUCUUAAAGAGGGCAAAAUCUAGAUGUGUGAAUUUUCAUGCCCCCACAUGGGACUGCCAUAAGCUGUUUGCUCAAGAAAGAGAACAGUGUGGACUUCCCUGGUGGUCCAGUGGCUAAGACGCC